GCCCAGAAAGGAGCAGCUCAGCCCUGGGCUCCGCACAGUAAAAUCCAAUUAUGUACAGAGAACCAGAAGUGUCUGUGGGCAAGGAGGGAGGGAAAGAGGAGAGUUCAGGCAGAGACAGUGCCUGGUCCACUGAGACCUCACGCCCCAAGGGAUGGGAUCUUGGUCCCUGCUGAGUCCUCAGCCCUGGGCUCCUAUCUGCCUGUCCCGUCAGGUCCUUGGCCCUGGGCUUGCUCAGGAGUUCAGCAGUUACCUACUGAGCUCCCCUGAGUGCCAGCCUCUGUGCUAAGCAGCUCAAAUCCACCAUUUCAUUUUCUCCUCCCAGCAGAUCUAGAAGGCCCCAAAUUCAAGGACCCCAGACUUAAGUUACCAUGAGCAGAAGACUGGACCAAAGGGGUGGCAGCCUUCCUCUCUCCAUCCAGACCACACCCCUGGGACUGGAAUUGGACAGUGAUCUUCAUCCAGGCUCCCCAGCCACACAGGGCCACAUCCAGAGAGCCCCCAGGUGGAAGGGCAGCCAGCACCCCUGUUCUCUGGCCUUGGACCUUACUGGCACCACGAUACCCCUGUCACACCGUGGACCAGAUCCACGAAUGUCAGAUGAUGAGAGAAGGGGGAAAUGAUCUACAAACUUCAAAUCCAGUUUACAGAUGCAAAACCUGAAGCCCAGAGAGGAGAGAAGGCUUGCCCAAGUGCCUGCUAUGAAGAAAAAGACUUUACGAUGUCCCUUUCAGACAGAGGUUCCAGACUGUCUGGAGACAUUUUUGGUUUUCACAUCUGAGAUUGCUACUGGCAUCUAGUGAGAAGAAAUGAAGGUUGCUGCAAGACAUCUACCAAGGCACGGGACACCUUAAAUGUCACUAAUGCCAAAGCUGAAAAACCCUGCCCUACGACUUUGCCCUCUGCCUAACUGGAGCUUCCAAGUGGGCUCCCUGAGCACUAGGACUCAAGGACACUGUAUAUAGUCUCUCCUAGAGUCGUGCCUGUCCCAUCUUCCUGUGCCUAACAUUGCUCAGCUGGUCAAUUCCACUUUUGGGCUCCAGUGUUCUAAAUUCACUGACUUACAGAGGCGCCAGUAUUAUUACUAUUUGCCUUCCUAACUGUUCCCUGAAGGCAGGCAAAGCAAGUAGUCUCCCUGCUGAGGGCAUGGAUUACAAUGUGACUGGGGAAUGGAAAGGGGAGGGGGAGGGGGGGAAGGAAAAUGACUGGGAUUAUUUAAUAAAAACAACCCUCCUGAGGAUGGUGGAGGUGAAGGACAGGGAGAGCAGAAUCUGUGAAGAUGUAGAAGAGAUGGGAGGAAUCCAGACUGCUCUGUGCUCCUCCCAUGUGCCCCAUCACAAAGCCGUGUAAACCAGUGGCUCCCUUGGGAAUUGAGGUCCCUUUGCACAUCUGAUGAAAACUUGGACACUCCCUCUGGAGAAAUGUGCAGAUGUACACUUCUUACAUAAUUUCAGGGACCCCAAAGCUCCAUAAUGGCUUCCAGAAGGAUUGGGCAGGGGGUAGAGGGAGGGAUAGAGGUUCAUCCUUAAGUGCACAUAGGAGAAUAAACAUGCAGGGACAAAAAAAUAAAGCUGGAAAAAAGGAAUGAAAAGGGAUUUGCCUUACCUGGUUUCCCCUCCCCCCACCCACCCUCCGAAUAGUGCAGCUUAUGGGAUCUUACUUCCUGGACUGGAGAUUGAAGCCAUGCUUAGCAGUGAAAGUGCCCAGUCCUAACCCCUGGACCUCCAGGGAAUUUCUGCACGUUACCUGAUACUAAAACAUAUUCAGGGGGCUCCCCUGGUGGCUCAGUGGUAAAGAAUCCACCUUCCUAUGCAGGAGACACGGGUUCAAUCCCUGGUCCGGGAAGACCCCACAUGCUGUGGAUCAACUAGGCCCAUGCACAACAACUAUUAAGCCUGUGCUCUAGAGCCUGGGAGCCACAACUGCUGAGCCCAUGUGCCGCAGCUUCUAAAGCUCACUCACCCUGAGCCCGUGCUCUGAAAGCAGAGAAGCCACCACAAUGAGAGGCUUUUGCACCGCAACUAGAGAGUAGCUGCUGCUCACCACAACUAGAGAAAAGCACGAGCAGCCACAAAGACCCAGCAGAACCAAAAAUAAAUAAAACAAAAACCAUAUUCUAAAGCCAGUGUAUUCAAAGCAGUGUGGUAUUGAAGCAGACCUAGAGGAAUCAGUGAAACAAAAUGGAGAGCAGAAAUGGACAACCACACAGGGGAAAUCCGUGUAGGAUGAAGGUAGCACUUCAGGAAAAUGAGGGGAAAUUCAGUAUAGGCCUUUUAAUAAAUAGAUGGACUAUCAAGCAAGUUAUUUGGGAAAAUAAGAGAGAGCUGUGUUCUUACCCUACACGGGUAUAAAUUCCAGGUGAAGCCCAUAUUUAAAUAAUAAUGCCAUAAUGUACCAGAAGAAAAAUAAGUGAAUGUUUUCACAACCUGGGGGGAUGGAAUGGAAAAGACUUUUCUAAGCAUGAUGAAACCUGUACGCCAAAGGGAAAACAUCGAUAAAUUUGACUAUAAAAAUUAUAAAACUAUAAAAACUUCUAUAAAGAAGUGUGAUCAUAUUCAAGUUUGAAAGACUUGAAAUACAAACUGGAAGGGCUGCAUUCCAGUUGCCCUCUUC
This is a long non-coding RNA of Bos taurus (domestic cattle), 2610 nucleotides long. NCBI's taxonomy places the organism in Eukaryota, Metazoa, Chordata, Mammalia, Artiodactyla, Bovidae. The record is from Ensembl.